This 340-nucleotide ribosomal RNA is filed under the name Acanthamoeba genotype T9. RNAcentral's name for it is "SSU rRNA". It matches the Rfam family "Eukaryotic small subunit ribosomal RNA", at positions 802 to 1082 of the family's 1831-position model. Lineage: Eukaryota; Discosea; Longamoebia; Acanthamoebidae. The record is from RNAcentral.
ACUUAGCAUGGGAUAAUGGAAUAGGACCCUGUCCUUCAUGUUUCGCGUUGGUUGUGCCACGUGCGUGCGCUUCGCGGUGCGCGCGCGUGGCAUGGUUUCGUCUAAAGGAGGACCAGGGUAAUGAUUAAUAGGGAUAGUUGGGGGCAUUAAUAUUUAAUUGUCAGAGGUGAAAUUCUUGGAUUUAUGAAAGAUUAACUUCUGCGAAAGCAUCUGCCAAGGAUGUUUUCAUUAAUCAAGAACGAAAGUUAGGGGAUCGAAGACGAUUAGAUACCGUCGUACUCUUAACCAUAAACCAUGCCGACCAGCGAUUGGGAGACGUUUCACACGGGAGUGGUCCCCA